GGCUCUGGCGUCUCUGAGCAUGCAUUUUUUCGUUCAUCCGCCAAAUGCUUCUUGAGCACCUGCUCUGUGCUGGACGCCGCUCUAGAUGCACCGACCAAGCCAAGUCCCUGCCUGCUGAGCGCACCUUCUGGCAGUGAAGACAAAAAAGAAAACCACGAGGGGCGAGAUACAGUGUCCACCACAAGUGCCAGGAAGAACACACGUGGCCGUUGCGGGAUGCGGGGAAGUCAGCAUGCAACAUUUCUCCUGCAAACCUGAGGACCAUGGUUAUCGCAAGGAAAAGCACUUCAUGGUUGAGUUACCAGCCAAACUAGCCCCUGUGUGUAUUAUGGAGCAUCAUUUUUACUUGGAAGAAUAACUUGCUGACUGUGGUAAUUCAGACUUGAGUGUUUGGCAGACAUUUUCUUGAAAAUAAAAGAAGGGAGCCUGUCCCUUCAAGGAAAACUGCUGAAAUAUUUGUUGGCAAUCAUAAAAUUUGAGCUUUCGAGUGAAAAUUAGCAAUUGGAAAACUUGUAUCGAGCACUGUGAGCUUGACAGCUUCCCAACACUUGAAUACUUUUCUGACGACAUUGGUGGUGAUAUUAACGAACAUGAUUUUUAAAUCUUAUAUAACGAAAACACUUGGAAACUCUGCUAAAAGCAAAAAAAGAAUAUUUUCCAAAUGACCAAAACAUGGUGUUACAAAAUCAUGGAUGGGUGAAAGAUCCAUGCAAAAAGCAAUCCAUUUAUGUUUAAAUGUAUUGAAAUAUAACAAAGUACAGAAAAUUCAUCGUUACAGUUUCAGAUUCCACACUGCAACUAACCUUUAAGGGAAAACUAUCAAUUGUUAAGUUUUGGUAUAGUAUCAAAGAAGGAUGCCUACAAUUAUCUAAAAAGGCCAUUACAAUAUCCUACUUUUUCCAACUGCUUAUCUGUGGGAGGUCAAAUUUUCUUCAUCUACUUCAACAAAAAUAACAUUGCAACAGCUUGAACACAAGCAGAUAUGAGAAUUCAGCUGUCUUCUAUUAAGCCAGAUAUUUAAAGAGAUUUACAAAAAUGUACAAUAAUGCCACUCUUCUCCCAAAUGUGUUUGUUCUGGAA
This 1080-nucleotide long non-coding RNA is filed under the name Equus asinus (donkey). Its description in RNAcentral is "lncRNA (ENSEASG00005036260.1)". The record is from RNAcentral. Lineage: Eukaryota; Metazoa; Chordata; Mammalia; Perissodactyla; Equidae.